Leopardus geoffroyi (Geoffroy's cat) is the source of this 1979-nucleotide RNA transcript. It is a transcript of the gene named solute carrier family 25 member 26, with no coding region annotated. The transcript has 12 exons. The record is from RefSeq and is a predicted model, not a curated record. NCBI's taxonomy places the organism in Eukaryota, Metazoa, Chordata, Mammalia, Carnivora, Felidae.
CCGCCCAGCUUCAUUUGCUCGCGAGAGUUUCUUCAUCUAGCCGAAUCACAAGGCUGCUGCAGGAAACGGAAGCAGAGAAGAGUCGCGAGACUUGGCUAGACCGCUUGCCUCCCCAGACCCCUCCCCUCCCUCCCGGCGCACCUUCUGGCCCAGUUUUCUCGGUUGCACGUGUAGUUGUUUUGGCUCAAUCUCACGUGGCCGCGGAAGUGCCGGCGCUACAAGUCCGCCCCCAAGAUGGCGGCACCCAAUGAAUGGGGUCGCGAUCCGCUUCUGCUUAGUCUCGAAGUAUAGCCUUUGCGGUGUCUGCGGGGCCAUGGAGUGGCCUGGGUUCAUGGCUUCGCUGGUGGCUGGUGGGGUAGCAGGUGUCUCUGUUGACUUGAUAUUAUACCCUCUGGAUACCAUUAAAACCAGGCUGCAGAGUCCACAAGGAUUUAAUAAGGCUGGUGGUUUUCGUGGAAUAUAUGCUGGCGUUCCCUCUGCUGCUAUUGGAUCUUUUCCUAAUGCUGCUGCUUUUUUUAUCACCUAUGAAUAUGUGAAAUGGUUUUUACAUACUGAUUCAUCUUCAUAUUUGAUGCCCGUGAAGCAUAUGUUGGCUGCCUCUGCUGGAGAAGUGGUUGCCUGUCUGAUUCGUGUUCCUUCGGAAGUGGUUAAGCAGAGGGCACAAGUGUCUUCCUCUUCAAGAACAUUUCAGAUUUUCUCUAACGUCUUAUAUCAAGAGGGCAUCCGAGGAUUGUAUCGAGGCUACACAAGCACAGUUUUAAGAGAGAUUCCUUUCUCAUUGGUCCAGUUUCCCUUGUGGGAGUCCUUAAAAAAUGCAGUUAAGUCCUUGGGAAAAUCGCUUAUGUCAUCAGCCCUCUGGUCCUGGAGGCAGGAUCACGUGGUGGAUUGUUGGCAGUCAGCAGUCUGUGGAGCUUUUGCAGGUGGAUUUGCAGCUGUGGUCACCACGCCUCUGGAUGUGGCAAAAACAAGGAUCAUGUUGGCAAAGGUUGGUUCCAGCACCGCUAGUGGGAAUGUGCUCUCUGCCCUGCACGGGGUCUGGCGGACACAGGGGCUGGCGGGAUUAUUUGCAGGUGUCUUCCCUCGAACGGCAGCCAUCAGUCUGGGAGGCUUCAUCUUUCUUGGUGCUUAUGACCGAACCCGCAGCUUGUUAUUGGAACUUGGCAGAGGGAGCCCCUGAAUUCAGGACGGCCCCACUUCUGCACUUCUGUCCAGAAAGGGGGCUGCUGUGCCACGGGUUCCCUUCCGGCGAGCAGCUGCUCGCCCAUCUGAACCGCCUGCACCGCGCCCCUGUGUGUGAGGAUAGGACCUUGAGGAUGUCUUGCCUGCUCCAGGCUGGCUGGAACGUCGACUGCCGCCUGUCUGCCAGAUCGCCAAGAGGACCGUGUCCACAGCGAGUUUACAGAGAAGGAUCCACCGGCCGGCGUGGUGUGUGUGAAAGCAAGCCGGUAGUUGCAGCUCCAGGGACGAGGUGGGCCCGGUGCGUCCGAGGAGGGUGCUGAGCCCCCCCCCCCGCCAGGGGCCUGGGCUGGCUGGGGAACAGAGCAGGGUUUCUUCGUUCCUAAUCGGGAAGGUUUAUUGUCUGCAGUUAGAAGGGGAGGUCACCAUUUCAGAGCUUGACUAAUAAGCUCCAGGUGUUAGAAACAUUCAGAGAGAAAUCUCAGGAAUCUAGUGGUGGUGUAUCCUCCCUGGGGCUAAAGUAUAGGAUUUUGCUUCGCGUAAAAAAAUUUCCCCCUUUCUGGGGGAAAAAAAAGAUAAUUAAAGGCAGAAUACGUGCAUUUGGUUUGUGAGUUUCUGGAAUGGAACAUACUGCUUACAGUGUCACUAGACAAAUGACCCCAGCCACCCAAUGAACGUUUAUAAAUGAACCUUUAUUAAAGACACUGCAACACCGUUUGUUAGACACUUCAAUAUUUUACAUGUUUUUCAAUGUACAUUGUACCAAAAUUUCUAUAAAUAAAUAACUUUGUACAUAAAAGUAA